Molecule: long non-coding RNA, 779 nt
Filed under: Homo sapiens (human)
Lineage: Eukaryota; Metazoa; Chordata; Mammalia; Primates; Hominidae
Description: HSALNT0314183
Source: RNAcentral
UUUUUCGCCCCGCCCUUCAAAUGCGAAAGCGACUGCCUUCUUGGAACACUCAAAACUAGCAUCUGAUGAAUGCCUACAUUCAGUCCACAAAGCAACAAUUGUCUGAACUAAGCCCUGCAAAGGAUGAAUAGAGACAGAACAACAGGACUUAGUAACUGAUGAUGGAGUUGGAGGAGAGGAAAGAAUCAAGCUGAUGUCCAGGUUUCAGGGGAACUGAUGGUGCCAUUCACUGAUACAGGGAACAUAAGCAGAGGUUCAGGGUCCUAUUUUUCCCUCCACUUUAAUGAGACCGAUCACUCUUCUAAAAACUAAGCCAGUUCCUUCAAAUUUAACAUGUGAUGAUUAAAAAGAAAUGGCUGGGUUCCGUUCCAAGAUAGCUGAAUAGGAACAGCUCUGGUCUGCAGCUCCCAGAGUGAUCGACGCAGAAGACGGGUGAUUUCUGCAUCACCAACUGAGGUACCUGAUUCAUCUCACUGGGACUGGUUGGACAGUGGGUGCAGCCCACGGAGGGCAAGGUGAAGCAUGACAGGGCGUCGCCUCACCCAGGAAGCACAAUGGGUCGGGGGAUUUUCCUUUCCUAGCCAAGGGAAGCUGUGACAGACUGUACAUGGAAAAUCAGUACACCCCGCCCAAACACUGUGCUUUUCCCACAGUCUUAGCAAAUGGCAGACGAGGAGAUUGCUCUCCCAUGCCUGGCUCAGCGGGUCCCAUGCCCAUGCAGCCUUGCUCACUGCUAGCGCAGCAGCUGGAGAUCGACCUGCAAGGCUGCAGCCUGGCGG